GACACGUGGCAUUUUAUGAGACUUUCUAAUUUUUUUUUUCCCGCUUAUGGAUUUUCCUCCUCAAUCGGGUGUUUCUUCGAUCCAAAAAAUCAGGAAUACAUCUUCAGAAUCUUCAAUCAAAUCUUGCCCAAAUUUCGAUCAAUUGAAUCGCUCUACAAUUUAACUUCAAAAUCCUAUAGAACCUACUUUUUCUCCAUCUCCAUCUCAACAUUCGAGGCAAACCAGUUGCCUGUGGCUAGCCCUUCCCUCCCCUUCACAUUCACCGUAACCUCGAUUCAGGUUCUGGUCAACAGAAGUUUUUAGAAGCUUCAGUUGUAGCUUAUGUAUCUGAUAACCCCAUAACGAUAUAGAAAGAGUUACCAAUUGAAGAUGCAAUUAAAGGUUUUAUUCCUUCUACUUCAUAUAAGAUGAAGCUUUCUACCGUUAUGGGAUACACUAACAGGGGCAAAAUAUUAUACAUUCUAGAUCAUGAAGCAACUAUUUAUUUUAUGUCUAAUAUUCAAGGAAAAUAUCCAGGUGUAUCAACAGUUGAUUGGUGCAGCAUGUAAUUUGAAGCGUCCAAAAUCCAAGAUUUUUAUAUCAUUUAUUGAUAAAUCAGAGCAUAUAUGUUAUUGCUUAAUACAGUCAAACAGUUUCUGAUCGAGUCCCUUAUUAUCACAUUCCAUUCCUCGAAAAGCUUAACCAAAAUUCCCAACUUUUCAAAUUUAUUAUACCAAGUAUGCCCCUCUUUUAUACCUUCAUGCCAAUCUUUAAAAUAGUAUAGAUUAACCGAA
Molecule: long non-coding RNA, 773 nt
Organism: Lactuca sativa (garden lettuce)
Lineage: Eukaryota; Viridiplantae; Streptophyta; Magnoliopsida; Asterales; Asteraceae
Source: RefSeq, a predicted model, not a curated record